Equus caballus (horse) is the source of this 3226-nucleotide non-coding RNA. The record is from RefSeq and is a predicted model, not a curated record. NCBI's taxonomy places the organism in Eukaryota, Metazoa, Chordata, Mammalia, Perissodactyla, Equidae.
UUUGUGACCACAGUGAAGUCUUCAUAAAGGGACAGCUGGCCCAAAGGAGGGGAGAUCCUACAGAUAAAAUGAAGAGGAAACUUCUUUGACGGUUCCACGGUGCCGGCCCUGCCCCAUGGGACUGGCUGUGGCUGGAAUGCAGUAUCCAAUUACCACGUGGUCUCAACCCCCGUGUGGGUGGCUGUGUGGUGAGAACCACAGGCAGACGACAGCUGUCCUUCUGUGCAGAGUGGCUCCCCAACCAGACUCUGCGGGGUGUUACAGUGUUCCCUGAGGGAGGUCGCUUCUGAGUGCUGGGGCCACAGACUAAACAGACAAUUAAAACUCAUCUGAGUUUUGGCAGUUUCUCCAAAAGCAUUUCUACUCCUGCUUUUUUGUUUUUUGGUGUAUGCUUUUCAACUUCAAGGAACACACUUUCCUCUGCAAAGGAAUUAUACUGAAUCGCCUAGCCAUUGCACGCAGGCCUCCCCUCUCCUGAAGAUGAACUUGGCAACUGCUUCACCAUGACAUCCUGCACAUCCAGAGAGAUGGCCCUUUUCUUCUUCUUGUGCUACACAGCCUCGCUCUCCUGUAUGAAGGGACGAUGCAGUGUUCACUUCCACCAGACUAGCUCCACUCGAGCCACAGGCUCUCCUCACAUUUCUGCUUGUUUGGGUGGGUAUGAGUAUGCCUCUGUGUGUGUUUGUGUCUCUCUCUGUCUCCCCAAUACCUGUGUGUAUCUCUCUGGGUGUGUGUCUCUUGGAGCUCUCUCUCUCUGUCUCUCACAGUGCCUGUCCAGGUGUGUGUGUGUGUGGGUCUGUAUGCGUAUGUCUCUCUCUAUCACCCUGAUAUCUCUGCACAGCUCUCUCUGGGUUGAUAGACAGGUGAUCCUGCUACUCCAGCAGAGUCAUCGUAUUUUCUUCUUACAUUCGCUGCCAAACUUCUUAAGUUUUUUCUGUAGGUAACUCGUUGUGGAUGGGCCCCCAGGGGCAGCUUCUAUUCUAAACCUGUGUCGUCCUGGAGGCCAGAGUCAGCACAGCCAGCCUGCCUCCAAAAGUACGAGUCCAAGGCCAAAAGUAUUGAAUCCUUCUGAAAGCAUCACUUCAUCAGGUUUGCACUGGACGGAGGAACCGGCCUUGGAAGACCUGCCAUAUCUGCAGCCCCCUUUAAGGACCGGUGCUAUUCCGGUGGAGCUGUGGCACAUGGGCCAGAGCUGAUUGGAUCAAGUGACACCCGACCCGAGGGCUGCCCUUCUGUAGGUCAGCCAGCAUCCUAUGAGGUAGCCCGGCCCAGGAGCCAGUGCUGCCUGAACCAAUCAAAUUCUUCUGCUUAGGGAGUUUGGAUGCAACAUAGAGGGGCAGCCAAGUGGUUGUUAGUGAGAGAAGCAGAAUGAUAAAGAAAAGCAAGGACGGAGAGAUGAUCAGUCUGUGGCGGCAGAGGGAAGUAGGGUCAAUGCACAGCUCCUGGAGAGAAGCUGCAGAUCCAGGGCAAUGUAAAACCCAGAGGCCCCAUCACGGUGCCCCCCACAUCCCCAGUACCUACCUCACCACGCUGGGUUCCUGAUAAAGCUCGUUAAAUGGGCCCGGUGUGCAUUCUCGAAACGCCUCCUUGCCCUGAACCACCUGCCAUGUGUUUUCAUACAGGUGAGUUAGGUGUGCCGCUCAGUGGGGGCUCUGGCACCCUUCCUAGAGUUACAAUCUGUGAAACUGAGGCCCUGCGGGAAGGGUGGAUUGAUGCACAUUUCCAGAUUUGAGGCUGGGAGGAGCCACCACUGCGAGACUUUCCUCCCCAAUCAUGUCCUUCUCAGAGCUUCAGUGAGGACAGUUGUCCCUGCAGUGCCCCGGCAAGAGAAAUCCCAGACCUCUCUGUCUUUGAGUGGUAAGGACCACUCGCAAGCACCCACUAUUUCGUUGGGUCCCAUGAGUCCCCUCCCCUCAACGUCGUACUCUGCUCUGGCCGGGCCAUACAGUUCGAGGGGAGUGAAACUGGAGAAGAAUGUGUGGAAGUUUGUGGCUUUCAUCUCUUAAACAAAUAGCAAAUUCCUCUGGGCUGCGGCUGCUGGAAUUGAACAAUGAUGUGUUCCGGGAGGCGCUAAGGCGUUACCUUGGCAACACCCAGGCUGUUUUCAGGCAAGAUCUAGUUAAAUGGGAAAGAGAACAAAAAUAAUAAAGGGAAGAGUCUGGAUGGGGUCCAGGAAUGGGGGUCUUUGGGCUGAAUGUGUGUGUUUUGUGUUCUGAUGUGUUUGCAGCCUGCCUUUCAGCUGAGUUUCCUCCCGGCUCCCCCAAGCGCGUCCCACGUCUGUGAAAUCGUCUACUAGAAUACUAAUUGGAGGCUAAGAACAGGCAGCGUGCUACGUGGGGGAUGGGUUAGAAAGCGAAAGGCGUCACCACUGUGACCACCUAAUCAGGAAGCGAUGUGCGUGAAGCCUGCCAGGUUGGCUUUUGAAAUCGUGAAGGUCACGGGAGUUACUUCAAACAUGACCCAGAUGCUUGCACCUUAGGCAGUCGGCGGCGUGUACCGUGGCAGUCCAUCAGACCCUUGCCCCUCACAGUGUGGUCCGGGGGCCAGCCACAGAGCAUCACCUGGGAGCUUGAGGAGAUGCAGACGAUCAGGUUGCCCCAGGCCUACCGACCAGGUCUGUGUUUUGACAAGACCCCCAGGUGACUCACAGCACCUACCUUUGUCACGUCAAGGUGGAUUCCUAAAAUAAGGUGGCAGUCCAGUACAAAAGCAGGCAUACCUGGUUUGCUGACAACGCAUUUUGGUGUGUUUGUUUUUUAACAUUGAUUCUUUGUGGUGAUGAUGACAAUGAUGGUGCUGAUGAUGAAGAUGACAUCAGGUACUGUUAUGAGUUGACUUGUGUCCCCACAAAAGGAUAUGUUCAAGUCCUACUAACCCUUGGUACCUGCGAAUGUAACCUAAUUUGGAUAUGAGGUCUUUGCAGAUGCAAGUUAAGUCGAGGUCAUCAGGGUGGACCCUAAUCCAAUGACUGGUGUCCUUAUAAAGGAGAGGGAAAUUUGGAUACAGACACCCAGAGAGAAUAGCAUGUGAUGACACAGGCAGAGAUUGGAAUGACCCUGUCACAAGCCAAGGAACGCCAAGGACUGCGCCAAGGACAUCAGCCAGAAACUAGGAGAGAAGCCUGGAUCAGAUUCUCCUGCUGAGAACGUAAGAAGGAACCAACAAGUUGAUACCUCCGUUUUGGACCUCCUGCCUCCAGAACUGUCAGAAUAUAAAUUUCUGUGGU